UUAAGGUUUUGUAUGAAAUUCGUUUAUAGAGUGGAAAGAGCUAUUGGAAGUAUGGAUGCAAAUGAAGAUGGUUUGUUAGAUCUUUGAAUUGGUGUGUGGAUUCUGGAAAGCUUUAAUCCUAGACAUUGAGGGUUGAAGAAGAAAGCUAUGCAGACAUGCACUAUCUAGAGAGGUUAUCUCAAUCAUUGUCGCAAUUAUUCCAUGGAGCCUGUAGAUCAUUUUAGGCCUACAGAAUCCCACAUGGUGCGGCGCUACACUGCCAUCAACAUGCUACCUCACGAUCCCCCAUCAUAGUACCUUUACUGCCACAGCCACUGUUACUCGUCUGUCACCUAGAUUCGCCACUGUAACCAUUUCUUACAUACUGUUAUUUAUAUAUAUAUCAUGACAAAAAGCCUUUCGUUUGAUGUUCCUUAUGAUCCACAAUCCAUGUUCGUUAUUAUUAUUACAAUUAUUAUUAAGAAUUGAAGUGCAACGCGGGGGAAAGAGAAAGAACGACUUACCUGGAGCUGCUGCUUAAAGACGAAGACGAUGGUGAUGGAGGGCUGGCUAACCAAUGUUACUUUCUUCCCCUCUACUUCUGUUUUUCGCUCACUUCACCUCUGUUCUUGCUUUUCUCUGCUUGUUUCCUCUUUUUCUUUUUUGUUUCUCUUGUCCCCCCUGUCUCUCUCUGUUCUUGUUCCUCUUGGUCUCUCUCUGUAUUAUCUGUGUUUGUUCA
This is a long non-coding RNA of Populus nigra (black poplar), 718 nucleotides long. RefSeq lists it as uncharacterized. The record is from RefSeq and is a predicted model, not a curated record. NCBI's taxonomy places the organism in Eukaryota, Viridiplantae, Streptophyta, Magnoliopsida, Malpighiales, Salicaceae. The transcript has 2 exons.